RNA transcript from Arachis stenosperma, 874 nucleotides. It is a transcript of the gene named mitochondrial intermembrane space import and assembly protein 40 homolog, with no coding region annotated. Lineage: Eukaryota; Viridiplantae; Streptophyta; Magnoliopsida; Fabales; Fabaceae. The transcript has 5 exons. The record is from RefSeq and is a predicted model, not a curated record.
CUGAAUAGAAUUCUAAUGUGUUUUCCAAACACAGUUAACAAGGAUUCAAGGAAGGUGGUUAUUCAAACUCGACUGCGAUAACUAAUCAUCAAUCAAGUUUCAGAGCAUGGGUCUAGCUCAAAGCGCCGAAGCUGCGGCACACGUCACCCAAACCCAAACCCAAACCCAAACCCAAACCUCAACCCAGACCUCAACCUCGAACAAUUCUAAUUCCACUUCCCUCGAUUCCGUUCUUGCAGAAGCUGCGGCAUAUGGAAACAACGAUGACACUGAAGAGUCUAUUGAGGCGAAGGCUCAGAGAGCUCUAGAAUGUCCUUGCAUUGCUGACUUGCGAACUGGUCCCUGCGGCUUCCAGUUCUCGGAGGCGUUUCUCUGUUUUCUAAAGAGCACUGCUGAAGAAAAGGGAUCAGACUGCGUAAGUCCAUUUGUCGCCCUGCAGAGCUGCAUCAAGGCCAACCCAAAUGCAUUUUCUAAAGAUGUUCUAGGUGAAGAUGAAAGUGAGAAGCCUGAAUCAACGCAGGAAUAUAAGAUACUUCCUCCACAAUGGUCUAGGGAGCCACAAAGUCCAAAAUCCAGGCUUUAAGAGAAGAGUUUGAUUCUCUCCAUUGCGGUUCAGAUAGAAGUACACGCAAAGUUCAUUUUAAAUUUACCUUUAUCCUAAUAGUCAAAAGGUCAUGCAAUUAUUUCAGCCUUUGUUUAUGGAUCAUUUUGUCUUUGUUUAUGAUAGCUAUGAAAGUAACAGAGUCAACAGAGAACUACGGGAUCCAUGCACAUCUAACAAUAAGUCCACACAUUUUGUUAUCUAGUGAUAUUUUUAUAAUCUUGAGAUAGAUGCCAAGAUUCAAGCUCUUUUUUUUUUUUUUUUUUUUUUUAC